Cyprinus carpio carpio is the source of this 635-nucleotide long non-coding RNA. The record is from Ensembl. NCBI's taxonomy places the organism in Eukaryota, Metazoa, Chordata, Actinopteri, Cypriniformes, Cyprinidae.
CCAAUCUGACUCCCAGAGCGACCCCUACCAGCCGACCCCGGGGCGCUCUUCACCCAACACCCCUCAUCUACGACAUGCCCCCAGCCUCCGGCACUUUCAGCACAGUCCUCCGCCUUCUCAUCUGUGACCUGUGAUCACACUCGACUUUCUGACAUCCUUUUAAGUGUUCUUGCACAGUGGGCGCUUACGGCUGCAAGCUCACAACGCAGUGGAGUCGCUCACAGCAUUACAUAAAUAUCAAACCCCAGUUGGCAGUGCAGCGGUCGCCGACGUGGCAGAGUGCGGGAAGGGGAAUCAGAGGAGAAGUAAGAGGUUGCAGCAUGAGAUCAUAGGAGUCACACUGAGCCACCAGAUCCAGUCUGUAUCCAGAUCAGAGGGUCACUGCAGUCACCCGGAUCCAGUACGUAUCCAGCCCAGAUGGUGGAUCAGCACCUAGAAAGGACCUCUACAGCCCUGAAAGACAGCGGAGGCCUGGACAACUAGAUGAGCCGCAGAGACAGAUCCCCUGUGAAGACCUUGUCUCAGACGACCAUCAGGACAAGACCACAGGAAACAGAUGAUUCUUCUGCACAAUCUGACUUUGCUGCAGCCUGGAAUUGAACUGCUGGUUUCAUCUGGCCAGAGGAGAACUGGCC